UGGGCGGAGAGCGGAGCCAACGAACGAGCGAAAGAAAACAAGCUGCACAUCCCGUCUCACCUAGACCACCUCUCGUCCCCGCACCCACACCCAAUCCGGCGCCUCCUUUCCUCCCCCAGUCACCUCUCCUCCUCCUCCUCCCACAAUCGCCCCCAUCUCCUCCUCCGUCUCCAUUUCUGGUCGGGGCGCCGUCUCCUCUCCACCUCGUGCCCCCCUCUUCCCACUCCGCCACCUCCGCUCUGCUGCACCCCGCCGCUCCGAGGACCAUCGACGAGGUGAGGACAGCGGUGCCAUCGGACCCGCCGACCCGGAGCCCGCGCCCUCCUGACCAAGCACCGUCCGCCUCCUCCCCCUCCUGUCGACGCUCGCAGUCGUCCCCGGCCACACCGGCCGCCAUCGCAUCUUCGCACAAAAUGCAAGCUCGGCUGAUGGAUUGCAUACUAUUUGGCUGAGUUGUUUUGUUCUAAAGAUACAAACGAGCUGAAGACUUCUUUUGUAUGGAAAUUCACUAUGGAAACCAAAAUAAUGGUACUCUGCACAACUGUUGACUUUCUUGCAUCGGUUCUUCAUUCUAUAAGUCACACCUUUUCUAUUUGGUAAAAGAAGAGUGAGCUCAUGCUUGAACUCCCACCAUAUAUGUUAACACUAGGAUACUGUAUCAAACCUCUGAUCCUUCAUAGUUUUCCCUUGCAUUGCCUCCUUUAACUCUUCAGCUGGACCUUUGAAAAGAAUGAUUUUUUGGUUAUAUAAUUUAUUAUGUUUUUUUGGUUGUCGAGAGGUAGAAUGUAAAGUAGGCUGCUAUUUUCAUUAUAUUCAUAUGCAGAUAUUUGAUAUAAGUGAAUAUAUACCUUUUGGUAGUUGAAUGUGCUCUCCAUUAAUAUCACUGAUAUAUUUGAGCUUCAGAGAAGGAUAUCUAUGCCAUUUUGUUUUUGGUUUUUGAACAAAAGAGUGUUGUAUGUGUAUCGUAAAGAGGAUUAAGCAGCAAAAUUACCAAUUUAGCAGGAUGUGGCUGAUACGUAUAGAGUGGCUUUGCUUAGGUCUGGUGUUACUACUAUUUCUUUCAUUGUAAAACUGAAGUACGGCAAAGUUUAUAGAUUUAUCAACCAUGCUUUUGGUGCCAGUAGUUUUGACUGUAGCUGUUGUGCAAUUCCGUGUGUCUGUGAUCUAUUGUUUAAAUAUAACAUAACAUUAUGAAAUUGUUAGUUGUUCUCUAUGUAUGAGAAAUUAUGAAAGAACUGUCUGCUAGGGGUAAAUAAUCUUUUUCGCUGUUUGAUAAAACAGUUAGGCCGCUACCCUCUCAUAUAUUUUUAUUCUCUAUUGAAGAAAUUCCUAGCCUUCAAUACUAUUUUCUCCAUGGUUUUUAUGUUGUGCAUUCUACAAUGCAGGAUACUGAAUCAACAGUUACACGAAAGUUUGAUGUCGUGUGAGUAGCAGAAACUGAAAGAAUAAGCAUUAGUCCUCUGAGAAGAGGUUGACAUUAUAUGCCCCUUCAGUGCUCGCUUUUGUCUUCCCCUGAUGUUCAUCGUCUCAAGGCUACUGACCUAGGAGUAGUCAUAUGCAAGUUCUGGUUAUCGCCCUAUCCUCUUUCCUGCAGAGAGAUAUGGCGAGGGAGGUGGCGAGGAAGUCGUUGGUGAUCUUGAAGAAUGGCAAGACGCCGAGCGAUGCACCGUUGCACCAACUGCCCAAGAUGCCGAGCGACGCGCAGCUGCUGCCGCUGCCCAAGAAGAUGACAAGCACAAAUGAUGGUUUGAUCUGUGUGCAGUUGCAUUGUUUAUUUCUUAAUCAGUGGAGAUCAUUUUUAUUAAUUAUUUUGACACGAACCCUAUGCUUUCUGUCAAGAGAUUGUUUUUGUAGUUGCCUAUUUAUUGUUAUCUACCAUUUUUUAAAUCUUCUGCAGCAUAGCAUGUGCAGUACUAUACUCCUAUUAUGCAAAGACUUCGGGAGGAUUAGCAGUUUCAAAUUCUACUAUCGAGUUGUUUGCUCUUUUUGAAUUACAAAUGCCUACCCAAGGUGUUAUUUUCUCGCAUCCUAACCUUUUAAGAUAAUAUUCAGAUGAACUUCUGGAUGCAACGUCCUGGGCAUGUGCUUUCGAGCAAUAUUUGAAUAAAGAUAUCGGCAUUUUUUGUUUCCAUUUCCAGCACAGCUUCCUCUAACCAAUCCUAUUACUAUUUGUGUUCCUGAAAUUUCCAUUAAAGCGCGAGAGGAGCGAGGGUGGGGGUGUCGAGCUGCGACGAGGUGCCGUUCGGGCGCGAUUUUUCCACUAAUUUUCUAUAUUGCUUAUUUAUGCAUUUGUGACCAUAGCUUUCCACUUUAGCUCAUAAACUGGAUGGUAAAAUAGAGUUUGCCCACUUCAUAUCUAUGUUGUCUUAUUAGGAAAAUAGAGCUUUCCACUUUAGCUCAUAAACUGGAUGGCAAAAUAGAGUUUGCCCACUUCAUAUCUAUGUUGUCUUAUUAGGAAAAUAGAGUUUGUUUUAUAGCUGAUGCUUAGGGCCAGUUCUUUUCUCCCCAGCUUCUCCUAGAAUCGUCACUGCAUAUAUUUUUUACAAUCCUAUCUAGUUAAAGUCUAAUUAGCUAGGAUUGUAAAAAACAUAUGGAGUGGCGAUUCUGGGAGAAGCUGGGGAGGGGGGCGAUUCUGGUAGAAUCGCCCAAAAGAACUAGCCCUUAAUAUGUCUUAUCGACCGGUGAAUGCUUAACUUUAGCUCAUAAACUGGAUGGCAAAUGCUAAUUCUGAUGGGGCUUUUGCCAUUUAUUGUUUUAUGGUUGUCUAGACAGCUGAUGGCAUGCUUCUUUCUUGCUUAUUGUUAAUUCUUUUGUACAGGGUCCCUCAGCUACUUAUGCUUUGCUAGACAAUGAGAGUAUGUAGAUAGCAUGUAUGGUUUUUACAUUGUGUUUGCGCAGGUUGAGAUGCAUCACAUGAUGUUUUCCUUUUACAUUUAUAAGUAUUAUAGAGUCCUUUCUUUUUCCACAAGGGGCGGUAGCUGUUCCAUUUGAUUCGAAGGACAAAGAGUUGAUCACAAAGGAGUAGCAUUCAGGAUAUACACACACAUAAGAGUGUAGAACCAAAUUAUAUGAUGUAAUUGACCACUAUUUCUAUUAACUUCUCUUGUAUACAAUGUUCACGAGUUCAUGUAUUAAGUACAUUUUAUCGUGUCA
Molecule: long non-coding RNA, 3153 nt
Organism: Triticum urartu
Lineage: Eukaryota; Viridiplantae; Streptophyta; Magnoliopsida; Poales; Poaceae
Source: RefSeq, a predicted model, not a curated record